This 253-nucleotide ribosomal RNA is filed under the name uncultured bacterium. RNAcentral's name for it is "partial 16S ribosomal RNA". It matches the Rfam family "Bacterial small subunit ribosomal RNA", at positions 524 to 776 of the family's 1533-position model. The record is from RNAcentral.
UACGUAGGGGGCAAGCGUUGUCCGGAAUCAUUGGGCGUAAAGCGCGUGUAGGCGGCUCGGUAAGUCCGCUCUGAAAGUCCAGGGCUCAACCCUGGGAUGCGGGUGGAUACUGCUGGGCUCGAGUCCGGAAGAGGCGAGUGGAAUUCCCGGUGUAGCGGUGAAAUGCGCAGAUAUCGGGAGGAACACCAAUGGCGAAGGCAGCUCGCUGGGACGUGACUGACGCUGAGACGCGAAAGCGUGGGGAGCAAACGGG